Molecule: ribosomal RNA, 234 nt
Filed under: Holopercna gerstaeckerii
Lineage: Eukaryota; Metazoa; Arthropoda; Insecta; Orthoptera; Acrididae
Description: partial 16S ribosomal RNA
Rfam family: Archaeal large subunit ribosomal RNA
Source: RNAcentral
GUCUGGCCUGCUCACUGAUAAUUUUAAAGAGCCGCGGUAUUUUGACCGUGCAAAGGUAGCAUAAUCAUUAGUCUCUUAAUUAGGGGCUAGAAUGAAAGGCUUGACGAGAAAUUAACUGUCUCUUAAUAAGUUUUAAAAUUUAACUUUUAAGUCAAAAGGCUUAAAUUUUUCUUUAGGACGAGAAGACCCUAUAGAGCUUGACAUUGUAUUUAUAUAUAAUUUUUAGUUAAUUUU